GGGAGUCUGAGGAGGCGGCUCUUCCACGCAUUAUAAUAUCCAUAAAGUAAAUGCAAAUUAACCAAAAGCACCUUCUGAAUAAGCAGCUUUUAUUGAGGGAGCUGCUCUAAUCCCUAAAUGGCUUUAUUGACCGAGAGGAGCUUCCUAGCGGGGGAGGGGGUGGGAAAUGUGCACGCACUGUCAGGAAUGGCUCCGCAGCGCCCUUGUCCCAGUGCUUUUAGAUUCCAGACAUGCUUCUUGUGGCUAAUGGAACUUGCAGAUCUCUAACCUCGGCUUCUACAUUCCGCUCCCCUCCCCCACCGGAGUCUGGGGAGCCUGGCUUCUGCGUCUGCAGGAGGCUGAGGCUGCUCGAUGCCGCAUCGCUGGUCCGGAUGAUGAGGGAAUUGGGGACGCCCUCUCUGGUUUCAGAAAACCUCAAGAGCUUCCCACCAAGUUACCAAGGCAACCGCAGCCCCGCAGGAUUCACAGUGACAGUGGAGAGAAAGCAGAGACUGACAACAGCCCCACAUCUCAAGGGGAGCAGGGAGACAGAGGCUCACCAGAGCAAACAUCCCCUGCAUCCCUGCUCAAGGAACUGUUUUCCUGCAAUUUGUGAGCUGACACAGCCCAGUCCCAGCAGCAGCAGGCUGGGGAGCUGGCGGCCCAGACCACAACAGGAGCAGCUUGUGGUGUUCUGUUCCAGCAGAUUGGAGAGAGUUUCCCAUGGCUCAGACCCGAGGCUGAGGAGCCAGGAUGGGAAAAGCAAGAAAGAGGAGGCCCCCAAGCUCUUGGCCAGCCAGCCAGCUUAUUGGUAGCCUGGAAUACAGAUGCCUGUAUGAGCUCUCCCUGCCUGGAAGGAGUAAAGUCAGCAUUAUCCAGACUUGUGAUACUGAUGGCUCUUAGGGAAUCACUCAGUGCUGGUGUUCUCGUUAGAGGUGUUCAACCUGUCUUAGCCCCUGAAAUUCCAAGAAAUGAGGAGAAGGUGAGCCUGAACCAGUCGCUGGCACUUGUUGGCUCCCUUCAUGCCUUUUUUUUUUUUUAAAGAUUUUAUUUAU
RNAcentral lists this long non-coding RNA (1034 nucleotides) under Zalophus californianus (California sea lion). RNAcentral describes it as "lncRNA (ENSZCAG00015022142.1)". The record is from RNAcentral. Lineage: Eukaryota; Metazoa; Chordata; Mammalia; Carnivora; Otariidae.